This 465-nucleotide ribosomal RNA is filed under the name Vreelandella stevensii. RNAcentral describes it as "partial 16S ribosomal RNA". It matches the Rfam family "Bacterial small subunit ribosomal RNA", at positions 338 to 795 of the family's 1533-position model. Lineage: Bacteria; Pseudomonadati; Pseudomonadota; Gammaproteobacteria; Oceanospirillales; Halomonadaceae. The record is from RNAcentral.
CCUACGGGAGGCAGCAGUGGGGAAUAUUGGACAAUGGGGGCAACCCUGAUCCAGCCAUGCCGCGUGUGUGAAGAAGGCCCUCGGGUUGUAAAGCACUUUCAGUGAGGAAGAACGCCUGGUGGUUAAUACCCAUCAGGAAAGACAUCACUCACAGAAGAAGCACCGGCUAACUCCGUGCCAGCAGCCGCGGUAAUACGGAGGGUGCGAGCGUUAAUCGGAAUUACUGGGCGUAAAGCGCGCGUAGGUGGCUUGAUAAGCCGGUUGUGAAAGCCCCGGGCUCAACCUGGGAACGGCAUCCGGAACUGGCAAGCUAGAGUGCAGGAGAGGAAGGUGGAAUUCCCGGUGUAGCGGUGAAAUGCGUAGAGAUCGGGAGGAAUACCAGUGGCGAAGGCGGCCUUCUGGACUGACACUGACACUGAGGUGCGAAAGCGUGGGUAGCAAACAGGAUUAGAUACCCGAGUAGUC